Molecule: ribosomal RNA, 746 nt
Filed under: Escherichia coli
Lineage: Bacteria; Pseudomonadati; Pseudomonadota; Gammaproteobacteria; Enterobacterales; Enterobacteriaceae
Description: partial 23S ribosomal RNA
Rfam family: Bacterial large subunit ribosomal RNA
Source: RNAcentral
AUGCCCUGGCAGUCAGAGGCGAUGAAGGACGUGCUAAUCUGCGAUAAGCGUCGGUAAGGUGAUAUGAACCGUUAUAACCGGCGAUUUCCGAAUGGGGAAACCCAGUGUGAUUCGUCACACUAUCAUUAACUGAAUCCAUAGGUUAAUGAGGCGAACCGGGGGAACUGAAACAUCUAAGUACCCCGAGGAAAAGAAAUCAACCGAGAUUCCCCCAGUAGCGGCGAGCGAACGGGGAGGAGCCCAGAGCCUGAAUCAGUGUGUGUGUUAGUGGAAGCGUCUGGAAAGGCGCGCGAUACAGGGUGACAGCCCCGUACACAAAAAUGCACAUGCUGUGAGCUCGAUGAGUAGGGCGGGACACGUGGUAUCCUGUCUGAAUAUGGGGGGACCAUCCUCCAAGGCUAAAUACUCCUGACUGACCGAUAGUGAACCAGUACCGUGAGGGAAAGGCGAAAAGAACCCCGGCGAGGGGAGUGAAAAAGAACCUGAAACCGUGUACGUACAAGCAGUGGGAGCCUCUUUAUGGGGUGACUGCGUACCUUUUGUAUAAUGGGUCAGCGACUUAUAUUCUGUAGCAAGGUUAACCGAAUAGGGGAGCCGAAGGGAAACCGAGUCUUAACUGGGCGUUAAGUUGCAGGGUAUAGACCCGAAACCCGGUGAUCUAGCCAUGGGCAGGUUGAAGGUUGGGUAACACUAACUGGAGGACCGAACCGACUAAUGUUGAAAAAUUAGCGGAUGACUUGUGGCUG